This 487-nucleotide ribosomal RNA is filed under the name uncultured bacterium. RNAcentral's name for it is "bacterial SSU rRNA". It matches the Rfam family "Bacterial small subunit ribosomal RNA", at positions 29 to 508 of the family's 1533-position model. The record is from RNAcentral.
AUUGAACGCUGGCGGCAUGCCUUACACAUGCAAGUCGAACGGCAGCACGGGGGGCAACCCCUGGUGGCGAGUGGCGAACGGGUGAGUAAUGUAUCGGAACGUACCCUGCAGCGGGGGAUAACGCGUCGAAAGAUGUGCUAAUACCGCAUACGCUCUACGGAGGAAAGCGGAGGACCGCAAGGCUUCGCACUGCAGGAGCGGCCGAUAUCGGAUUAGCUAGUUGGCGGGGUAACGGCCCACCAAGGCGACGAUCCGUAGCUGGUCUGAGAGGACGAUCAGCCACACUGGAACUGACACACGGUCCAGACUCCUACGGGAGGCAGCAGUGGGGAAUUUUGGACAAUGGGCGCAAGCCUGAUCCAGCCAUGCCGCGUGAGUGAAGAAGGCCUUCGGGUUGUAAAGCUCUUUCGGCGGGGACGAAACGGUUCGUGCUAACACCACGGACUAAUGACGGUACCCGAAGAGGAAGCACCGGCUAACUACGUGC